CCUACGGGUCGCAACAGUGGGGAAUAUUGGACAAUGGGCGAAAGCCUGAUCCAGCCAUGCCGCGUGUGUGAAGAAGGCCUUCGGGUUGUAAAGCACUUUCAGUGGGGAAGAAAGCCUUGGGGCUAAUACCCUCGAGGAAGGACAUCACCCACAGAAGAAGCACCGGCUAACUCCGUGCCAGCAGCCGCGGUAAUACGGAGGGUGCGAGCGUUAAUCGGAAUUACUGGGCGUAAAGCGCGCGUAGGCGGUCUGAUAAGCCGGUUGUGAAAGCCCCGGGCUCAACCUGGGAACGGCAUCCGGAACUGUCAGGCUAGAGUGCAGGAGAGGAAGGUAGAAUUCCCGGUGUAGCGGUGAAAUGCGUAGAGAUCGGGAGGAAUACCAGUGGCGAAGGCGGCCUUCUGGACUGACACUGACGCUGAGGUGCGAAAGCGUGGGUAGCAAACAGGAUUAGAUACCCCUGUAGUC
Molecule: ribosomal RNA, 465 nt
Filed under: Vreelandella stevensii
Lineage: Bacteria; Pseudomonadati; Pseudomonadota; Gammaproteobacteria; Oceanospirillales; Halomonadaceae
Description: partial 16S ribosomal RNA
Rfam family: Bacterial small subunit ribosomal RNA
Source: RNAcentral